UAUGGGUUUAUUCGUGGUCAUUUGACUUGUCGCUUUCAUCAAUUUGUUGAAAGGAAAGAUCUGUCUCAUUUGACGAACAUUUUGAUGUAUGGUAUGUUAAUUUUGGUUGAGUAACUAAAGAGGAUUUUACCGAAGAAGACGAAGAGAAGUGGUGAUGACUGAUGAUGUUUUUGAGUGAGAACUGCAAGAUUCAAUCACUUGAA
Molecule: long non-coding RNA, 203 nt
Filed under: Salvia miltiorrhiza (redroot sage)
Lineage: Eukaryota; Viridiplantae; Streptophyta; Magnoliopsida; Lamiales; Lamiaceae
Description: long non-coding RNA (SMIL_LNC004349)
Source: RNAcentral